CGAGGGCUGAGGGAACGAAACCAAAUGGAUGAUAAUCUUAAUAAUAUCAAGAUGGCAAUUUCUCCAUUUCAAGGAAAAACUGACCUUGAAGCCCAUUUGGAGUGGGAAAAGAAAAUAGAAAAGAAUAAAUGAAAGAUUGAGGAAAAAACAAUAGAGAAAAACAAAGAGUUUGAGGUAAAAACACAAAAGGAAAUUGAAAGAAAAGAAAGACAAGAGUUGUUAAUAAGAGAAAAUGAGCUAAAAAUAAAAGAAAUUGAGAGAAGAAAAAAAGAAAUGUGAGAAAAAGAAAUUGAAAGAAAAAAAGAGCUUGAAAGAAAAGAGAAAGAAAAAGAAUGCGAGCAAGAAAAGAACCUUGAAAAAGAGUUUGAGAAUGAAAAAGAGGAAAAUGAGAAUGAAAGAAAAUAAAAUGAGAAAGAUGAAUGUUUCAUUGAGAUUGAAGAAAUAAAAGAAAGUGUGAAUCAAAUUAGUGUCGUUGUUGAAAAAGAAAGUGAAAUAAAGAGUGAGAGUGAGUUUUCAAAAAU
Molecule: long non-coding RNA, 521 nt
Filed under: Gossypium raimondii (Peruvian cotton)
Lineage: Eukaryota; Viridiplantae; Streptophyta; Magnoliopsida; Malvales; Malvaceae
Description: long non-coding RNA (GRAI_LNC001877)
Source: RNAcentral